AGUGCACGUGCUGUUACUUCAGAUGGCCAGGUAAUUAAAUCCGCCUCAAAGGUUAUCUUAGAUCUGCACAGAGGGACCUGACCGUCACCGUGACAACCAGGCUGCGACUGCGCAGCCUCACGAGACGUGUGCCUGGAGGCACGCCUCCUCCCAGGUAAGGGCGCCGUGGCCAGGACGAUGGCCAGGAGUGACAGCCCCACAUGUGUGGCUGCGAGAGAGGUGCCCGCAGCAAAGACGGCACGUAUCGCAAAUUAAAAACAUGCCACUGCUGGGAGCCCGUAUCACAGGGAGAUCGUGCCCCCAAAGCGGCGUCAUGAAAUGAAGUUCCAGAAACACCAGGACUAAUGGCAAACCGGCCACUCCGGACUACGUGGCAGGCCUAGGUCUUACUCAGGUUUUCUUCGUCUUCUAGAUCCAUGGCGAAAGGCUGCAGAGGGUUUCUUGACUGGCGGAGGCUGUUUCUGCCCUGGGAUCAGCUCAGCUCCUGUGUGCACUCUGGUCCAGGGGCCAGGCCUCCGUCGGCGCGUGUAGGGCUGAGGUCAUCAGAACGUGAGCGAGCGUGGCCAGGGCGUUUCUUCAGCUGCUUCUCCAGCUCUCCACGCCCAACUUGAAAGACUUCACUCUCACCCGCUGGC
Long non-coding RNA from Phyllostomus discolor (pale spear-nosed bat), 635 nucleotides. RefSeq lists it as uncharacterized. The record is from RefSeq and is a predicted model, not a curated record. The transcript has 4 exons. Lineage: Eukaryota; Metazoa; Chordata; Mammalia; Chiroptera; Phyllostomidae.